Molecule: long non-coding RNA, 208 nt
Filed under: Pan troglodytes (chimpanzee)
Lineage: Eukaryota; Metazoa; Chordata; Mammalia; Primates; Hominidae
Description: long non-coding RNA NONPTRT002379
Source: RNAcentral
AGAAACCUUUGCUGAACCAAUGUUGUGGAACUUUCCCCUUAUGUUUUCUUCUAGUAUAUUUACAGUUUCAAGUUACAUUAAAGUCUUUGAUCUAUUUUCAGUUAAUUUUUGUGUAUGAUGUUAGAUAGGGGUCCAAUUUCAUUCAUCUUCUUGUGGCUAUUCAGUUAUUUUAGCAUCAUUUAUUGAAGACACUGUCCUUUCUUCAAUG